This 405-nucleotide ribosomal RNA is filed under the name uncultured bacterium. RNAcentral's name for it is "bacterial SSU rRNA". It matches the Rfam family "Bacterial small subunit ribosomal RNA", at positions 356 to 773 of the family's 1533-position model. The record is from RNAcentral.
GGGGAAUAUUGCACAAUGGGCGAAAGCCUGAUGCAGCGACGCCGCGUGAGGGAUGACGGCCUUCGGGUUGUAAACCUCUUUCAGUAGGGAAGAAGCGAAAGUGACGGUACCUGCAGAAGAAGCGCCGGCUAACUACGUGCCAGCAGCCGCGGUAAUACGUAGGGCGCAAGCGUUAUCCGGAAUUAUUGGGCGUAAAGAGCUCGUAGGCGGUUUGUCGCGUCUAUCGUGAAAGUCCGAGGCUCAACCUCGGAUCUGCGGUGGGUACGGGCAGACUAGAGUGAUGUAGGGGAGACUGGAAUUCCUGGUGUAGCGGUGAAAUGCGCAGAUAUCAGGAGGAACACCGAUGGCGAAGGCAGGUCUCUGGGCAUUAACUGACGCUGAGGAGCGAAAGCAUGGGGAGCGAAC